Molecule: transfer RNA, 72 nt
Organism: Ovis aries (sheep)
Lineage: Eukaryota; Metazoa; Chordata; Mammalia; Artiodactyla; Bovidae
Rfam family: tRNA
About the family: Transfer RNA (tRNA) molecules are approximately 80 nucleotides in length. Their secondary structure includes four short double-helical elements and three loops (D, anti-codon, and T loops).
Source: Rfam
UCCCUGGUGGCUCAGAUGGUAAAGAAUCUGCCUGCAAUGCAGGAGACCCAGGUUCCACCCCUGGGUAGCGAA